GAGAGAGAGAGAUAGGUGCUAACGUUAGAUAAAAGUGCGUUCCCUAUACACGGACCACUCAGUUAUACCGUAUAACUCGCUGGGCUCCGACUCCAUUUUUUCGUGUUGGUAUGGAAACGACAGGUCUGGCUACUCCGCUUGUCAUUGGUCGGCUGUCAAAAAAGCGCUUGACAGAGAGCGUUUUAUCGGUGGUGGCGUUUAAAAAAAGUGCUCAGGACUUUUUUGAAAACACGGUUUACUCCACAGGAUUAUAACGUAAAACAGACGCUGGCAGCUUCAAAAAAUAGAACAUGACAG
Long non-coding RNA from Sander lucioperca (pikeperch), 297 nucleotides. RefSeq lists it as uncharacterized. The transcript is spliced from 3 exons. NCBI's taxonomy places the organism in Eukaryota, Metazoa, Chordata, Actinopteri, Perciformes, Percidae. The record is from RefSeq and is a predicted model, not a curated record.